RNAcentral lists this ribosomal RNA (425 nucleotides) under uncultured bacterium. RNAcentral's name for it is "partial 16S ribosomal RNA". It matches the Rfam family "Bacterial small subunit ribosomal RNA", at positions 354 to 796 of the family's 1533-position model. The record is from RNAcentral.
GUGGGGAAUCUUGCGCAAUGGGCGAAAGCCUGACGCAGCCAUGCCGCGUGAAUGAUGAAGGUCUUAGGAUUGUAAAAUUCUUUCACCGGGGACGAUAAUGACGGUACCCGGAGAAGAAGCUCCGGCUAACUUCGUGCCAGCAGCCGCGGUAAUACGAAGGGGGCUAGCGUUGCUCGGAAUUACUGGGCGUAAAGGGCGCGUAGGCGGACAGCUUAGUCAGAGGUGAAAGCCCAGGGCUCAACCUUGGAAUUGCCUUUGAUACUGGCUGUCUUGAGUUUGGGAGAGGUGAGUGGAACUCCGAGUGUAGAGGUGAAAUUCGUAGAUAUUAGGAAGAACACCAGUGGCGAAGGCGGCUCACUGGUCCGGUACUGACGCUGAGGUGCGAAAGCGUGGGGAGCAAACAGGAUUAGAUACCCGUGUAGUCC